CCCAAGGGUCUGCGGGCCGCGGGGACUUGCUGGCGGGCCUGGAGGCGGGGGGGAGGGGGGGGGCAGGCUGACGCGUCGCCUCUGGGAGAACCGGGAGACCCGCGGCGAGCAGAGUUGAGGACCGGCCAGCGGGGCGUCCCGGGGCUAGACCUGGGAGAUGUCCGAGUGACUGGGGGCGCCCCGGCCGUGCAAGCCUGAGAUACAGAUUGAACUUCAGACAAGGCCGGACUACCCUGUAAACCAGAGACAACUUUUCAUUUGAAUGAACAGAAUCACAGACUACAAUGAAAGGGGGAAAAAAUGUAUCUUGACCGUGACAGUACAUAGAAGCUGUCUUACUCACCACUGUUGGAAUAUCAUAGAGACAAUCUCCUGUGCUGCCUCCCACUGGCUGAACCCAAGAGGAAACCUACGGGCAAGUGAGCCCUGAUGACAUUGUCCUUCAAGGCCAGCCUCCAGAAAAUGAUGGAGGGUAAAUCUGGAAGGACAAAGGCACAAUAUCUAGCAGUGAGCAUUGUGAUAGGGGAAGUAUGAGGAGCUGAGUGGCCGCCUGGGAGAAUAAUGGACUCCAUCUCCGGAGAUAAGGGAAGGCUUCAGGGGUGGAGGAAGGAAGGAAGAUUGAAGGAACCACAGAUCAUUCGCUCUGAUGGAAGCCAGCUGCCAUGUUGCAAGCUGCCCUAAAGAGAGGUCCCCAUGGCAAGAAGCUGAGGGAGGUCUCGAGUCAACAGCCAGCUAGGAACUGGGGCUUCAAUCCAAUAACCCAAGAACAAUUGAGACCUACCAACAGCCACAGGAGUGGAGCUUGGAAGCAGAACGUUCUUCAGUCAAGCCUUCAGAUGAGACUGCAGUCCCUCUGGACGGUUUGACUAUAACUUCAUGUGAGACUUUGAGUCCAAACCACCCAACCAUGAUGGUCCCAAGUUUCUGACCCAUAGAAAUUGUGAGAUAUUUGUUGUAAUUUUCUUUUUUUUUUUUAAUUUUUUUUAACGUUUAUUUAUUUUUGAGACAGAGAGAGACAGAGCAUGAACAGGGGAGGGUCAGAGAGAGGGAGACCCAGAAUCUGAAACAGGCUCCAGGCUCUGAGCCGUCAGCACAGAGCCCGACGCGGGGCUCGAACUCACGGACCGCGAGAUCAUGACCUGGGCCGAAGUCGGCUGCUUCACUGACUGAGCCACCCAGGCGCCCGUGUUGUGUUAAUUUUCUAAGUUUGGGGGGUAAUUUGUUAUGCAGAAAUAGACAACUAAUUCAUCAGAUCACUGAAAAUGAGGGGGAAAUAAUGAGAAAGGUUUCCAGGUCCUAGCAUGGUUGGAUGACUUUCUCCAGCAGCCCUCGACAACUCCACACAAUGUGCUCAUCCACUUUCUAUACCAUCGAUAUUAUGCAAUGUCCAACAGUAUCUUUUUCCCCCAAUGAUAUCUUUUGAUAAAGGAAUUUUGCCAAAAGCUUAUUUAGCUUUCUUACCAAGCAAAUUUAUCAUUAUUAACAUUAUGACUGACUGUAAAAGCUUCUUAGCCAGAAUGUGACUGUUUUGGCUUUAAAAAAUGCAAACUUUAAGGAUGCCUUUAUAGUUUUGACCACUUCUCCUUAUGUUUAGGGGUAAAUGUUAUCAAUGUCAUUAGGAAGCACUAUUCUGUGAGCUCUUCUUCCAGAAAAAUUUGUUUUAUCAGAUUGGCCACUGAGGUUUUCUUAACAAUGGCACUACAGGGCACCUGGGUGGCUCAGUUGGUUGAGCGGCCGACUUCAGCUCAGGUCAUGAUCUCAUAGCUUGUGGGUUCGAGUCCUGCCUCAGGCUCUGUGCUGACAGCUCAGAACCUGGAGCCUGCUUCGGAUUCUUUGUCUCCCUCUCUCUCUGCCCCUGUCCUGCUCAUGCUCUGUCUCUGUCUCUCUGUAUCUCAAAAAUAAAUACACAUUAAGAAAAAAAUUUUUUAAAUAAGUAAAUAUUUUUUAAAAAAAUUUUUAAUGGCACUAUGACUUCAUUGGCUUUGUGCCACUAUUUGACCAAGGUUUAUAGCAUAAUAUACUGGGAACCAGGGCAAAAUAGAUUACCAGUUUAAUAAAACAUAUGUCUUAGAGGUUUAUCAUAUUUCUUAUUAGCAAUUUUCCCAUUCAGCUGCUCAUCAUAAUUCAUCAUGCUUGUGGAUUACCCAAUCCCAGCAUAGACAGAGUCACCCUGUGUAUUUAUUUGCACUGGAUUCCUGGUUAAUGUUUCACUUACAACGUUCUUUUCCACCCCCCUGAGUUUAAAAGUAUUCAGCAUACUGAUUUAAUUAACUUUCAGCUAACUAAUUGAAUUCCUGAAUUGUAUUACUGAUCUACUUUUGCGAAUUUAAAAGACAACAUAACACAAUACAUUUCAAAUUUAACACAUAAACAAUAACACAUAUUGUGAAACAACAUGUCCACACCCUACUAAUUGCACAUUAGCUGAGACAAACUGUAGAGCUAACGCAACCUAAACCUUAAGAGCAAAAUGAUUAUUGAGAGUAUAACAGGAUUUCUGAGAAAAUCGUACUUAACAUGACAUCUAAAGUUUGUGAAAUAGGUGUGAAUAAAGAUUCUCAUCCCAAUAAAAUAGCCUGUAGACAACUUAAUGGGUCCCUGGGUCCAGAGACCACAUAUUGGAAGAAGGCUGAUAGAUGGGGAAGAAAAAAAAUAUAUAUCGCAGAGUCACGUGACCAGAGGACUCACUGAAAUACAAAAAAUGUAAAUGGAUGAAAAGGCGAAAAAUUGAAAGGAAAUGUACAGUGUGAUCCCAUUUAUGUAAAAAAGUGAGUGUAAAUUUUAAGCACAUAGGAAGAAAGCACUGGAAGGAAAAAUUGUUAUCAGUGAUCAGCCUAGGGAGGGGAGGGGCUAGGAGAGCAAAGGGAACCUUCAUGUUCUACUCUAUAUGCGUUUCUUUUUUUUAAUGUUUAUUAUUUAUUUUUGAGAGAGAGAGAGAGAGGAAGAAUGCUCAGCAGGCCCUGCACUGUCAGCACAGAGCCUGCCACGGGGCUUGAACCCACGAUCCAUGAAAUCAUGACCUGAGCCAAAAUCAGGAGUCGGACUUAUAACCAGCUGAGCCACCCAGGUGCCCCAUGUAUGCCUCUUAUUAAUUUCAAAUUGUGGUCAAAUACACAUAACACAAAAUUUACUAAACUACCUUUAAGUAUAGAGUUCAACAGUGUUAAGUAUAUUCACAUUGUUGUGCAACCAAUCUCUAGAACUCUAUCAUCUGAAAAAGUUGAAACUCUUUACCAAUAGCAACUUCCAAUUUCCUUCUUCCCCCAACCCCUGGUGACCAUUUUUCCACUUUCUGUCUCUAUGAAUUUGACUAUUCUAGCUCCCUCAUAUAAGUGGUAUCAUUUCAAUAUUUGUCCAUUUGUAUCUGGUUUAUUUCACUUAACAUAAUGUCUUCAAGGUUCAUUCAUGUUGUAGCCUUUAUCAGAAAUUCAUUUCUUUUUAAGCCUGAAUGAUAUUCCAUUGCAUGUUUAUUCCACAUUUUGUUCAUUCAGUCAUUCAUUCAUGGACACAUAGGUUGCUUCCACCUUUUGGGUGUUGUGAAUAGUGCUCCUCUGAACACAGGCGUGCAAAUACCUCUUCAAGACCCUUUUAGUUCUUUUCGGUAUGUACCCAGAAGUGGGAUGGCUGGAUUGCCUGUCUUGUUCUGAUCUUUUAUGAUGAGAAUGUACUCGUGUAUUAUUCAUAUAGUUCAAACAUACAGAGAAAUGAAAAAGAAGUCACUAUCAGAGUGUGAGUUAUGGGCAUACAAGGUUUCAGAGGUAGAGUAGUACCUGAACGUGGCCCAAGUACGAAUUGUGUAUAUCCAACAAAUGACGUCUUAGGCUUGCUCAAAUUUCCUCUGUGGUAAGAGAGCACCUACAGAGCCAGCUAACCCAGUUCCUUAAGGUAUGGGCAAAGUUGGAAAAACCAAACUGGAUUAUUCAAAUGUAUUUUUCAGUUUCCUGCCCCUACACCUUUAUUGCCUCAAUUCCCUCCACUGGGUAUAUCCUUCACCUGCCAACUUGACCCAAAUGUCCUCUCCCUUCUGAGGCCCCUUUUAACCUCCCCAACGAAAUUGACUCUUGCUACAUCUGAAGCCCCACAGGGCUUUGUGCCUCUCUUAGGGCUCUUUUCUUCACAACACAAAGAUUAAGUGAGGCUCAUACCCAUUAAGAUGGUUAUAGAGCCUCAUCUUUCGACUUGAAUUCAACAUUCACAAGCGUAGGCCAAACGCUGUAUUAGCCAGGAUUUAGGUUAGAACCCAUAGUCAACAUUUAUUGACAAAUACUUAAUAAGUAUUUGCUAUGAGUUUGGCACUAUUAUGUAGUCCCUGCCCUCAUGGGGUUUAUGUGUAUUUUCUUCCACAGGCCUUCCUAUUUUGGAAAAAUCGGGAAUUCAUUUUCAACUCAAUAAGUAUGGGUACCUAAGGGCAGCAGUGGGAGAUGACACAUGUACACAUCCAUACAUUUGAAAUUCAACAAAUAUUUACUGGGUAUCUAAUACGUGCCAGGUUGUACGUUCGCCACUGGGAAUUUAACAAUGAACAAAUCAUCGAUGCUUUUUCUUUCUUUUUCUUUCUCAUAACAGCUUUAUUGUAGUAUAACUCAGACACCAUACAGUACCCCAAUUAAAGUGUACAAUUCAGUGGUUUUUAGUGUAUUCACAAAGUAGUACAAUUAUCACCAGUAUUUUCAACACCCUUCAAAAGAAACCCCCUAACCAGUAGCAAUCACUCCCCGUUUCUCCCAACCCUCAGCAACCAUUUCAUUCUCUCUCUCUAUUUUUGCCUAUUCGGACAUUUUGUAUAAAUGGAAUCAUACAGUU
Long non-coding RNA from Neofelis nebulosa (Clouded leopard), 4803 nucleotides. RefSeq lists it as uncharacterized. The transcript is spliced from 5 exons. NCBI's taxonomy places the organism in Eukaryota, Metazoa, Chordata, Mammalia, Carnivora, Felidae. The record is from RefSeq and is a predicted model, not a curated record.